This 460-nucleotide ribosomal RNA is filed under the name uncultured bacterium. RNAcentral describes it as "partial 16S ribosomal RNA". It matches the Rfam family "Bacterial small subunit ribosomal RNA", at positions 338 to 795 of the family's 1533-position model. The record is from RNAcentral.
CCUACGGGAGGCAGCAGUGAGGAAUAUUGGUCAAUGGGCGGGAGCCUGAACCAGCCAAGUCGCGUGAGGGAAGACGGUCCUAUGGAUUGUAAACCUCUUUAGGCGGGGAGCAAUGCCGGGCACGCGUGCCCGGAGGGAGAGUACCCGCAGAAUAAGCAUCGGCUAACUCCGUGCCAGCAGCCGCGGUAAUACGGAGGAUGCGAGCGUUAUCAGGAUGUAUUGGGUUUAAAGGGUGCGUAGGCGGAUUUUUAAGUCAGCGGUAAAAUGUCCGGGCUCAACCCGGGCCGGCCGUUGAAACUGGGGAUCUUGAGUGGGCGAGAAGUAUGCGGAAUGCGUGGUGUAGCGGUGAAAUGCAUAGAUAUCACGCAGAACUCCGAUUGCGAAGGCAGCAUACCGGCGCCCGACUGACGCUGAGGCACGAAAGCGUGGGGAUCGAACAGGAUUAGAUACCCCAGUAGUC